Molecule: ribosomal RNA, 3273 nt
Filed under: Triticum aestivum (bread wheat)
Lineage: Eukaryota; Viridiplantae; Streptophyta; Magnoliopsida; Poales; Poaceae
Description: partial small subunit ribosomal RNA
Source: RNAcentral
AUGGGGGUGUUCACCGCGGUGCUGACUGUUCUGGUGCUGACUGUUCUGGUGCUACGGACGCCUACUUAUUCGCGACUCCGAUCACCGUACUUCACAGUACACAACACCGCCGCCGCGUAUUUCUCUCCGUGCAACGAUGCCAGACCACUCGCGCUUCUGUGCGUCCAGCUCGCCAUCGUUGCCACCGCCGCGGCGUCGCCGGCGAGGGAAAAGGAGGAGGAGCGGUCCUGCUGCAUCGUGCAUGUCGCUCGCGCGCACGCGCCGCCGCUGCCGUGCCGUGGCCUGCUCAAUACCCGGGCGUACGCCUCAUUCCUGCGUGACCGCAUGCCGGCGGACAUGUCCCUUCCGGCGCCGCGGGUGCUCUAUUCCUACUCCCACGCCGCCACGGGCUUCGCGGCUCGCCUCACGGGUCGCCAGGCCGCGCACCUCGCGGCCCAGCGCUCCGUGCUCGCCGUCGUGCCCGAUGUGAUGCAGCAGCUACACACCACGCUGACGCCAUCCUUCCUCGGCCUGUCGGCAUCGUCGGGCUUGCUACCAGCGUCCAACGGCGCCACGGACGUCGUCAUCGGCGUCCUCGACACCGGCGUGUACCCCAUCGACCGCGCGGAGUUCGCGGCGGGCCCGUUGCUGCCGCCGCCGCCCGGCAAGUUCCGCGGUGCCUGCGUCUCGGCUCCGUCGUUCAACGCCUCCGCCUACUGCAAUGGCAAGCUCGUCGGCGCCAAGGUCUUCUACGUGGGGUAUGAGGUUCAACUUGGAGGCCCGAUCAACGAGACGGAGGAGUCCAAGUCGCCGCUCGACACCCUCGGCCAUGGCACCCACACCGCCUCCACCGCCGCCGGCUCUGCCGUCCCGGACGCGGCUUUCUACGGCUACGGCAGAGGGAACGCCGUCGGCAUGGCCCCGGGCGCGCGCGUAGCCUCCUACAAAGUGUGCUGGAAAUGCGGAUGCGCAACCUCCGACAUCCUCGCGGCGUUCGACGAGGCCAUCGCCGACGGGGUCGACGUCAUCUCCGCUUCAUUCGGCUCCUCCGGCUACGCGGAGCCGUUUUAUGUGGACUCCACCGCCGUGGGCGCCUUCAGCGCCGUCCGCAAGGGCAUCAUCGUCUCUGCCGUAGCGGGGAACUCCGGCCCAGCUGAGUCCACCGGCAACAAUAUCGCGCCCUGGUUCUUGACCGUCGGCGCGUUCACCAUCAACCGCCAUUUCCCGGCGGACGUCGUCCUCGGCAACGGCGAUACCUUUUCUGGCGCUUCGCUCUACGCUGGCCCGCCGCUUGGCGCUACCGAGACACCGCUCGUGCAUGGCCGGACCGUCGGCUCGAAAACCUGCGAAGCUGGGAAGCUGAACGCCAGCUUGGUCGCCGGGAAAAUCGCCAUCGCCGACGGGGUCCACGUCAUCUCCGCUUCGUUCGGCUCCUCCGGCUACGCGGAGCCGCUUUAUAUGGACUCCACCGCCGUGGGCGCCUUCAGCGCCGUCCGCAAGGGCAUCAUCGUCUCUGCCGCGGCGGGGAACUCCGGCCCAGCUGAGUCCACCGCCAUCAACAUCGCGCCUUGGUUCCUGACCGUCGGCGCGUCCACCAUGCAUCAACCGCCGUUUCCCGGCGGACGAGAGUCUGUCAAACUCGCCGGCGGCGUCGGAGCAAUCCUCACGAGCACGAAAGAAUUCGGCGAGCUGGUCGUCGGCAGCCCCCACACCUUCCCUACAACAACCGUCACGUUCGCCGCUGCGAAAAGGAUUAAAACGUACAUGAACAAGACUACGUCCCCGGUCGCGACGAUCGUGUUCCGCGGCACGGUCAUCGGCCCGACGCCUCCUUCCCCUAGAAUGGCAUCCUUCUCGAGCCGCGGGCCGAACCUCCACGCGCCGGAGAUCCUCAAGCCGGACGUCACGGCACCCGGCGUGGAGAUCCUCGCCGCUUGGACCGGCGCCGCCUCGCCCUCGGGCCUCGACAGCGACACGAGACGAGUGCACUACAAUGUUCUAUCGGACACAUCCAUGGCGUGCCCACAUGUGAGCGGCAUGAUGACCACCAUGAUGACCACCGCGAUCAAGUCCGCCAUGAUGACCACCGCGUACAACGUGGACAAUGCCGGCCACGUCAUCGGAGACAUGGCCACCGGCAAGGCGUCCACGCCGUUCACGCGCGGGGCAGGCCACGUGGACCCCAACCGCGCCCUUGACCCAGGCCUCGUGUACGACGCCGGCACGGACGACUACGUCACCUUCCUGUGCGCACUCGGCUACACCGCUGACGAGGUUGCCGUCUUCACGAGAGACGGCUCGUCGACCAAUUGCUCGACGCUCCCGGGUUCAGGCUAUGUUGGAGACCACAACUACCCGGCCUUCGUGGCGGUGUUCACCUCGCGCAACGAGACCAUCACGCAGCACCGCAUGGUGCGCAACAUCGGCAGCAAUGUGGAUGCGACGUACCGAGCCACGGUCACCAGCCCCGCCGGCAUGCGCGUCGACGCGAGGCCGCAGAAGCUGCAGUUCAGCACUACGCACAACACACAGGAGUACCAGCACCUACCUAGAGGAGUUGCGGCACGGCUCGUCCCGAGUUCUGCAGUUAACGUGUACACCUCUCACGUGGACACGAGCAAACCAGAACUCCUCUACUCGUUGCUUCGGCAGGUCCUGCAGGACAAUGCUAUAAAAAUACAAUCAAGGAAGGCUCCAACAAAAGCAUCCAAGUCACGGCUCGAGACGACCAAACGAGAGACGACCUCGAUCAAGGUCCAGCGCCCCGCCUCCUUCGCCGACGACCAGAGCGACGCCCUCGGCCCCCUCCUCCCACGGUACUCAUGCUCCAUGGUAUGCCCCUCCUUCGAUAAGACUAACAUACCCAUUGAUACACUAUGGGGUAAUGCUAGAGAUGCUUUAAUUAAGCUGUCUUUCUACCUCCUGACUGCUACUGAACAAGUAUCGCAGAUCGGGCACUCUGCCACGGAGGCGGAGGCGCUGCGCCUGCGCGCGGCGGCGCUCGCCCUGGUGCUCCUCGGCGUAGCUCAGGCCAUGACGGCCGCGGCGGCCGUCGUGGUCCUGGCGGGGGGUUCCCUCACAUUUCUGGGCCGGCGCCUCGUCGCCAGCGCGCUCGUCGUCGCUGCCACCAAUACCUACCUUCUUUUCCGAGUCGUCUACAUGGUGGCAGUCGUCGCCGGCGGGCAGAGCGCCGGCGGGAACGUCCUCGACCUCUGGACCCAAAUCUCCAUCGCCUGCUCCUUCUUCUCCUUCUUCUGCGCCAGCCUCGCCGCCACCCUGGCUGGGCCUAAUUAA